GUGCUCACUUUGGCAGCACAUAUAUUAAAAUUGGAAUGACAGAGAUUACCAUGGCUCCUGAGCAAGGAUAACAUGCAAAUUCAGGAAGCAUUCCAUAUUUUA
Antechinus flavipes (yellow-footed antechinus) is the source of this 102-nucleotide small nuclear RNA. The record is from RefSeq and is a predicted model, not a curated record. NCBI's taxonomy places the organism in Eukaryota, Metazoa, Chordata, Mammalia, Dasyuromorphia, Dasyuridae.